Long non-coding RNA from Rosa rugosa (rugosa rose), 2045 nucleotides. RefSeq lists it as uncharacterized. The transcript is spliced from 3 exons. Lineage: Eukaryota; Viridiplantae; Streptophyta; Magnoliopsida; Rosales; Rosaceae. The record is from RefSeq and is a predicted model, not a curated record.
CACACUCUCUCUCUCUCUCUCAAUAUCUCAGAUCUGCCGCUACCCUCUCCAGCAAAGACUGACGGUAGUCCCGGCGACGGCCACCAUGACUCCUCCUCCAAAUUCGUAUCACCAUCGAUGGUAGUUGCACUCUCUCGCUCUGUCAAUUUCUUUUGAAACUAGAACACCCAUAUGGAGACUUGUCCCCAAAGUGUCUCGAUUUGCCAUAUCUUUAUCGAAUCACUGUCCCACUCUGUUCUUCUGGUUUAUCAAAGCGUUUCGGUAGGGUAUUUGGUGCUGGGCAAUGGCUAUGGUUAAGAAUGAAAGAGACUGCUCCGGCGCCAUCGACCACUUCAGGUACUUCAAUCUCUUCCUCAAUUAGUGUUUGUGUGAAAUUGAAGGUCUGGGUUUCAGUUUAAUUGUCAAGGGUAGGUAGUUUGUGCAUUGAAAUGAGUAAUUGGUGAUUUUAGGGUUUUCAAUUGAGUAAAAUUAAUUCUCAUGUUUAAUGGGUUUACUGGGUUUGAAUUAUUGAUGAAAAUCUUGAAUUAGAAUUGAGAGUUUGGGAUAUUUCAGUUCAAACUUUUGCUUCAGUUCUUCGAAAGUUUGAUAUCUCUUCUUUAUGCCCACCAGCUCUAUAUUUAAGUUUAUCAGUGUUUCUUUGAGGUAGUUCAUUGAAAGUAAUAGUUGCCUUGUUCAUAUAUAAUUGGACUUGUCCAAGUGGAAUACUUAUUUUAGCUCCAAAUUUGGGUUCUAUUAUCAAUUGUCAAUUCAUACAUUGUUUCCUAUGAGGUUUGGAAAUGGUUUUGGAUGGAUAUUUGUGUUUUCAAUACUAUUGUGAAUUUGAAAUGUGAGUUCAAUGCAAUGAAAUUUGAAUGUUGAAUAAAGCUUUGGUAAUGUGUUUUAUGAUUCAGAUUAGGUUGUCAACAAGUUUCUGUCUUAAGUUUGAGGCAUAUCAGUUGUUGAGCUAGUUUCUUUUCUCAUUUAUGUUUGUGAUUUGAUCAGAUUCAUAUUCAGUAAUGCUUUUGAAGAACUAGGGUUCAUGACAACGACAUAAUCUGAAUCUUUGUUUCCUAUGUUUUGUAAUCGUUUCUUGAACCUUAAACUUUUGUGAUUGUCUGUGUUUGGACUGAUGAGGAAAUUGUAAAAGCAGAUAGAAGACUAUAACUUCUUGCUGCUAAAAUAUCAAAUGUGUCCUUCUUUAAGGCAGAUUACUGCUACAGGUAUUUUAGUUUUUGUUGGGUUUUGCUCACAAGUUCCAAGGUGAUUUCUUUUCUCUUGGUUAAGCCUAGGGAGGUGUUAAUGGUGAUCCUCAUACUUUAAAUCUUAAAUUCAGUAGUGUAUUUAUUUGGUUAGCUAUAAGUCCAUAAGAUGUUCCUUAGAGUUUCAGAGUUUGAUUUUGAUGUCGAAAUUUAGGAGCAUUCUUUGUCCAUACAAGAUAUAUCUGGGAUUUGAAGCCACUUAACUUCAAGCAGAACCAUGAUUGCAGUAGAUUGGACGUUGGUUUACAAUUGGUUUCCUAAAUUUUUUUUUUUUUUCUAAUAGCACAUGUUAAACUGCAUAUUUCUUUGUAAAUUUUUCUUGGGUUUUUGUUGGAAUAGAACAUAUUAAGACUGCAAGUAUUAGGAUUACAAGUGUUUUAUCUUUGAAAAUUGAUGGUCAGGAAUUCAAAAGCUUAUAAGAAUUGAAGCUGCAAAUAAGGAAAGGAUAUGUACCUGUUCAUAUAAUUCAAAGUUGAAUAUUAAUAUCCUUAUCUGGAUUUCUUGUUAACACUUAAGCAGAGUUUUUGAGAAAACAUCAACCAUGGCUCUAGAAGAAUGUUAUUCACAUCGAUAUGUUGUUGAUGAUGUACAUCAUUUAACAAUAUAUGCUGCCUGAAGAUUGUCUGAGUUCAGAGAAUGACUUGCAUGCAGCCAUGAUGGAAUUGAUAUAGAUCAUAACUUAGUUGAUAGGAAUUUGUAGCUUGAACUUCUAGAAACAGUUUUGGGGUUUGUUUAUGUAUUGCUGGAUAUUGGAACCUUAGAGAUUGUUUAAUGAAAAAGCUAUAUUGACAGUGUGAUGACUGUGAU